UAAGGUGUGGCUCAGUGGUAGAGCACUCGCCUGGCAUGAGUGAGGCACUAAGUUUGAUCCUCAGCACCAUAU
RNAcentral lists this transfer RNA (72 nucleotides) under Ictidomys tridecemlineatus (thirteen-lined ground squirrel). RNAcentral describes it as "Spermophilus tridecemlineatus (thirteen-lined ground squirrel) tRNA". It matches the Rfam family "tRNA". From Rfam's summary of the family: Transfer RNA (tRNA) molecules are approximately 80 nucleotides in length. The record is from Rfam by way of RNAcentral. Lineage: Eukaryota; Metazoa; Chordata; Mammalia; Rodentia; Sciuridae.